This is a long non-coding RNA of Gossypium arboreum, 892 nucleotides long. RefSeq lists it as uncharacterized. The record is from RefSeq and is a predicted model, not a curated record. NCBI's taxonomy places the organism in Eukaryota, Viridiplantae, Streptophyta, Magnoliopsida, Malvales, Malvaceae. The transcript is spliced from 2 exons.
GGACUGCAUUGCAAAAACAUGUAAAUUCUAUGACAAAUUUAAAAAGAAAUAAAGCAUAAAUAAGGAUCAAUUUGAAGGUUUGCGUGAAGACGAAGGGCUAGUCACGGAAUUGGACCUUUCGGAGCUAAAACAUGGAUCCAGUUCAUGGAUUAGGUGUGCGCAAUGAUUUUACCCUUUUCUACACGGCACCUUUUCAAAUUCAACGUAAAGUCCAGCUAAAAAAAAACUAAAACCAAACACUCAAUUACUUUAACAAAAUCAAAAGAAAGAAAAAAAAAACUAAACCCUCCCUAUUCAUUCGGCUAAAACAUGAGCCUUAUGCCCAGUCACCACAUGCCACCGUUAAAUCCGGUGAUCCACCAUGCGCGAAGAGAGUCUUCGACUCUGCUCAUGCCAUAUGCGGAGACUCACUCGCUAUUCAAUAUCAGGGAAAACAAAAGGAGUAAACCCGACCCUCUUUUGAUCCGAUCUCGAAGGAGUCAAGAUUCCCGCAAUGAACCAUAGGUAUGGAGCCAGCUGGCUGAUGGCGCGCGUGGGACUGGCCGGAGGCAGUAGCGAUGCUGGAAGCUGCUGGAAACCUGUUCGGCGCAAGGGAACCUUAGGGUUUCUGCUGAAAAUUUGGUUUAAUUUUGGGCCAUUGGGUGCUGGGCUAUUGGGUUAAUUUGAGUUUAAUGUUUGGGUCGGAUUGCUGGGUUUAUUUUAAUUUGGGCUCUGUUGUAACAAAAGGGACUUGGAUUAUUAAUAUUUGGUUUUAUUUAUUUAUUUAUUUAUUUUAUUUUUUGGUUUUUGUUAUGGGCCGUGGCGAGAUGGGCCUAUUACAAUUAUGAAAUUUUUAUAGUUUUAAGUUUGAGUCUUAUAAUAUACAAAUGUUAUGUUGGGAUUUUCUUUUAAA